UACGUAGGGGGCAAGCGUUAUCCGGAUUUACUGGGUGUAAAGGGAGCGUAGGCGGCAGCGCAAGUCAGAAGUGAAAGCCCGGGGCUUAACUCCGGGACUGCUUUUGAAACUGUGCGGCUAGAUUUCAGGAGAGGUAAGCGGAAUUCCUAGUGUAGCGGUGAAAUGCGUAGAUAUUAGGAGGAACACCAGUGGCGAAGGCGGCUUACUGGACUGACAAUGACGCUGAGGCUCGAAAGCGUGGGGAGCAAACAGG
Molecule: ribosomal RNA, 253 nt
Filed under: uncultured bacterium
Lineage: Bacteria
Description: partial 16S ribosomal RNA
Rfam family: Bacterial small subunit ribosomal RNA
Source: RNAcentral